Molecule: ribosomal RNA, 253 nt
Filed under: uncultured bacterium
Lineage: Bacteria
Description: partial 16S ribosomal RNA
Rfam family: Bacterial small subunit ribosomal RNA
Source: RNAcentral
UACGUAGGGUGCGAGCGUUAAUCGGAAUUACUGGGCGUAAAGGGCUCGUAGGUGGCCAACUAAGUCAGACGUGAAAUCCCCAGGCUCAACUUGGGAACUGCGUCUGAUACUGGAUGGCUUGAAUUCGGGAGAGGGAUGCAGAAUUCCAGGUGUAGCGGUGAAAUGCGUAGAUAUCUGGAGGAAUACCGGUGGCGAAGGCGGCAUCCUGGACCGAGAUUGACACUGAUGAGCGAAAGCUAGGGGAGCAAACGGG